AUUUUGUAAAAGCAUUUGCAGACAAGUAAGCUGUUCAAUAUGAGUUCUUCUAAUAGUGAUUCGUCUACUUCUAGUAGCGAAUCCGAAGAAAUUCUGCUUGCAAUUCAAGCAAGUCGGAGGUUACAAAUGAAGUUUAAGGAAAGGUCUCUCCGAAGAUACGAAACGAAAUUUCUCUCCCAAAGGCGAAGACAGCAGUUUCAAGAGAAGGAUGCUGAGCGAAGACAGCAGUUUCAAGAGAAGGAUGCUGAGUGA
This 252-nucleotide long non-coding RNA is filed under the name Stegodyphus dumicola. RNAcentral's name for it is "uncharacterized LOC118204584, transcript variant X3". Lineage: Eukaryota; Metazoa; Arthropoda; Arachnida; Araneae; Eresidae. The record is from RNAcentral.